RNAcentral lists this ribosomal RNA (429 nucleotides) under Chloroflexota bacterium. RNAcentral describes it as "Chloroflexi bacterium partial 16S ribosomal RNA". It matches the Rfam family "Bacterial small subunit ribosomal RNA", at positions 355 to 776 of the family's 1533-position model. Lineage: Bacteria; Bacillati; Chloroflexota. The record is from RNAcentral.
UGGGGAAUACUGCACAAUGGGCGCAAGCCUGAUGCAGCCAUGCCGCGUGUGUGAAGAAGGCCUUCGGGUUGUAAAGUACUUUCAGUCGGGAGGAAGGUGUCAAGGUUAAUAACCUUGGCAAUUGACGUUACCGACAGAAGAAGCACCGGCUAACUCCGUGCCAGCAGCCGCGGUAAUACGGAGGGUGCAAGCGUUAAUCGGAAUUACUGGGCGUAAAGCGCACGCAGGCGGUUGAUUGAGUCAGAUGUGAAAUCCCCGGGCUUAACCCGGGAAUUGCAUCUGAUACUGGUCAGCUAGAGUCUUGUAGAGGGGGGUAGAAUUCCAUGUGUAGCGGUGAAAUGCGUAGAGAUGUGGAGGAAUACCGGUGGCGAAGGCGGCCCCCUGGACAAAGACUGACGCUCAGGUGCGAAAGCGUGGGGAGCAAACAGG